CUCAAGCUCAUCAGCUUCUACUUGCCUUCUCUGCUGCUCACCAAGUAAUACUCCAAUCUCUUUCUCAUAAUCAUCCCCAAAAGAUGAAU
This 89-nucleotide small RNA is filed under the name Arabidopsis thaliana (thale cress). RNAcentral's name for it is "ATSL115310". Lineage: Eukaryota; Viridiplantae; Streptophyta; Magnoliopsida; Brassicales; Brassicaceae. The record is from RNAcentral.